Molecule: transfer RNA, 74 nt
Filed under: Podarcis lilfordi (Lilford's wall lizard)
Lineage: Eukaryota; Metazoa; Chordata; Lepidosauria; Squamata; Lacertidae
Description: tRNA.Lys
Rfam family: tRNA (bases 6-63)
About the family: Transfer RNA (tRNA) molecules are approximately 80 nucleotides in length. Their secondary structure includes four short double-helical elements and three loops (D, anti-codon, and T loops).
Source: RNAcentral
UGGGAUAGCUCAGUCAGUAGAGCAUGAGACUCUUAAUCUCAGGGUCGUGGGUUUGAGCCCCACAUUGGGCAAAA